AACGAACGCUGGCGGCAGGCCUAACACAUGCAAGUCGAGCGCGCCCUUCGGGGUGAGCGGCGGACGGGUGAGUAACGCGUGGGAACGUACCCUUUGCUACGGAAUAGUCUCGGGAAACUGGGGGUAAUACCGUAUGAGCCCUUCGGGGGAAAGAUUUAUCGGCAAAGGAUCGGCCCGCGUUGGAUUAGGUAGUUGGUGGGGUAAUGGCCCACCAAGCCGACGAUCCAUAGCUGGUUUGAGAGGAUGAUCAGCCACACUGGGACUGAGACACGGCCCAGACUCCUACGGGAGGCAGCAGUGGGGAAUCUUAGACAAUGGGCGCAAGCCUGAUCUAGCCAUGCCGCGUGAGCGAUGAAGGCCUUAGGGUUGUAAAGCUCUUUCGUGGGGGAGGAUAAUGACUGUACCCCAAGAAGAAGCCCCGGCUAACUCCGUG
This 433-nucleotide ribosomal RNA is filed under the name uncultured bacterium. RNAcentral's name for it is "bacterial SSU rRNA". It matches the Rfam family "Bacterial small subunit ribosomal RNA", at positions 29 to 507 of the family's 1533-position model. The record is from RNAcentral.